Molecule: ribosomal RNA, 478 nt
Filed under: uncultured bacterium
Lineage: Bacteria
Description: partial 16S ribosomal RNA
Rfam family: Bacterial small subunit ribosomal RNA
Source: RNAcentral
GAUGAACGCUAGCGGGAGGCCUAACACAUGCAAGCCGAGCGGUAGAGUCUCUUCGGAGCCUUGAGAGCGGCGCACGGGUGCGGAACACGUGUGCAACCUGCCUUUAUCUGGGGGAUAGCCUUUCGAAGGGAAGAUUAAUACCCCAUAAUAUACUGGAUGGCAUCAUCUGGUAUUGAAAACUCCGGUGGAUAGAGAUGGGCACGCGCAAGAUUAGAUAGUUGGUGAGGUAACGGCUCACCAAGUCAGCGAUCUUUAGGGGGCCUGAGAGGGUGAUCCCCACACUGGUACUGAGACACGGACCAGACUCCUGCGGGAGGCAGCAGUGAGGAAUAUUGGACAAUGGGUGAGAGCCUGAUCCAGCCAUCCCGCGUGAAGGACGACGGCCCUAUGGGUUGUAAACUUCUUUUGUAUAGGGAUAAACCUAGAUACGUGUAUCUAGCUGAAGGUACUAUACGAAUAAGCACCGGCUAACUCCGUG